RNAcentral lists this long non-coding RNA (1208 nucleotides) under Olea europaea (common olive). RNAcentral's name for it is "long non-coding RNA (OEUR_LNC004196)". Lineage: Eukaryota; Viridiplantae; Streptophyta; Magnoliopsida; Lamiales; Oleaceae. The record is from RNAcentral.
UAAGGGGUUCCAUUUGAGGAAAGCAAAUAUUGAUCCUUUGGGAUUUCUGGUAGUGAUAUAUGGAAUUUUUUUCUUAGUUAUCUCAUAUUCUCAGUAUACCUGCAAUAAUUAAGGAUAUUGUCAUAAUAGCUUUAUGUCUCUGCCUAUGAGGUAGAUCACAUGAUAGUCAGCUAAGAGAAAUAUCAUACGAGGUCAGUACUCAAUUUACCAUCUUCUCUUUUACAUGCCCUUUCGAGAUGAUUAUGCUAUACCUUUAGAUGCCAUGUCUAGAAUAUUAUGAUGGUUAUGCAUAGACACUAGUGAGCUAUUAGGAUAAGGUCUUGUGUCAUGCAUUCAGAUGGAACCUCUUCAACUUGCUUCCUUCACAUAAAUACUUGGUUCUUUCUCAUGAAGAGAGAAGAUUUUUCAAGAAUUGAAAAAAUUUAAAACUCAUAUUUUUCGUUCAUUGUGUCUCUCACACUUAAUAUUGUUUAUCAUUUGACUUGAGCAACGAAGUGUAUAAGUUGAAGCUUCAAUAUGUGCAGUUUAAUAUGGUUAUCAAAGCGUACAAGUAACACACCCGUGGAUGAGAUAGCAAAUGAAAUGAGUUGACAGUUGAAUAUCGUUGAAUUUGGAGGCCAACAAAUAGUGUCAUGUUUAAUAUCUUUGUGAUUCCAUUUCUAGUUUGGUGUAUCCAAAAGAACAGGUAAAUUAGAAGGCUAGGUGACUCGGUCGUCAAGGUCGAGGUUAAUAUACAAGAUGUCAGGCCUAGUGGUCCGUAUACUGUUUUUACGUAACACUUUUCUAGUUGUAGUUUGUUUGUGCACGCACGACCCCAUUUCCUUUGGUGGUCGGGAAUUUCUUCACCAGAUGAUUUGUAACAAAAUAGCUCAUCCUUGGUGCUUCAUUAAAGAGUGGUCGUCUAAGGAUUAGUUUGUAGGUUAUCAAAGUUUCCAAAACUCGAAAAGAAAGCGUCUUUUGUGAUUUGCAGGGGUCUGUACCCAAUGUAACAGAGCUUGAUGAUCCCUUCUCGAAUAAUUGUACCUCCUUUGAAACCUUGAAGCGGAGUUAUUGCUGACAACGUACGACUUGGUUAUACAUUGGUUGCACUAUCAUUGUCCACUAGUGUUCUUUUGAUCAAUUACAUCAUAGUAUACAAGUUUUAUACUACCACAUUGUAACACAAUUUUUUCACAAAUAAGAUCUUGACACCAAAGAUGAUAUCAAAC